UACGUAGGGGGCUAGCGUUGUCCGGAUUUAUUGGGCGUAAAGAGCGUGUAGGCGGCCAUACAGGUCAGCUGUGAAAACUCGAGGCUCAACCUCGAGACGUCGGUUGAAACCGUAUGGCUAGAGUCCGGAAGAGGAGAGUGGAAUUCCCGGUGUAGCGGUGAAAUGCGCAGAUAUCGGGAAGAACACCCGUGGCGAAGGCGGCUCUCUGGGACGGUACUGACGCUGAGACGCGGAAGCGUGGGGAGCGAACAGG
Molecule: ribosomal RNA, 253 nt
Filed under: uncultured bacterium
Lineage: Bacteria
Description: partial 16S ribosomal RNA
Rfam family: Bacterial small subunit ribosomal RNA
Source: RNAcentral